UACGAAGGGGGCUAGCGUUGCUCGGAAUCACUGGGCGUAAAGCGCACGUAGGCGGACUCUUAAGUCAGGGGUGAAAUCCUGGAGCUCAACUCCAGAACUGCCUUUGAUACUGAGGAGCUUGAGUCCGGGAGAGGUGAGUGGAACUGCGAGUGUAGAGGUGAAAUUCGUAGAUAUUCGCAAGAACACCAGUGGCGAAGGCGGCUCACUGGCCCGGUACUGACGCUGAGGUGCGAAAGCGUGGGGAGCAAACAGG
This 253-nucleotide ribosomal RNA is filed under the name uncultured bacterium. RNAcentral's name for it is "partial 16S ribosomal RNA". It matches the Rfam family "Bacterial small subunit ribosomal RNA", at positions 524 to 776 of the family's 1533-position model. The record is from RNAcentral.